This 685-nucleotide ribosomal RNA is filed under the name Prionostemma aspera. Its description in RNAcentral is "eukaryotic LSU rRNA". The stretch from base 281 to 435 matches the Rfam family "5.8S ribosomal RNA". Lineage: Eukaryota; Viridiplantae; Streptophyta; Magnoliopsida; Celastrales; Celastraceae. The record is from RNAcentral.
UUUCCGUAGGUGAACCUGCGGAAGGAUCAUUGUCGAAACCUACAAAAGACAGCACGACCCGUGGACCGGUGAAUAAAUGCUCGGGGGACGUGCCUUCGGGCCUUCCUCCCGGAGUCCCCGGCCAAGGUUGCGGUCGACGUCGACGUCGCGUCCUUGGCUGCGGGCAAAACUAACAAACCCCGGCGCAAGUCGCGCCAAGGAAAAUGAAAAGGAGAUGCGCUCCCCUCGUCCCGGGAACGGUGCGUUGGGGAGUUACAUCGUCGUUAUCAUUAUUUGAAACGACUCUCGGCAACGGAUAUCUCGGCUCUCGCAUCGAUGAAGAACGUAGCGAAAUGCGAUACUUGGUGUGAAUUGCAGAAUCCCGUGAACCAUCGAGUUUUUGAACGCAAGUUGCGCCCGAGCCGUCAGGUUGAGGGCACGUCUGCCUGGGUGUCACGAAAAGUCGUCGAAUAUCCCUCCCCCAACCCCUACAUACAAAAGUGGAGGUAGGAGCGACGAGGGACGACGGAUAUUGGCCUCCCGUGAGCUCGUGCGAGCGGCUGGCCRAAAAAUCAGGUCUGCCCGCAAGGCGGCCGCGACACACGGUGGUUGAAAGCGCACGCACUCCUCGAACACCGUCGUGGGCCAGCCUCGUUCGUGGGGAGCCAAAAGACCCCGACGCGGAGCGUCAUCKCAAAGCGACCCC